RNAcentral lists this ribosomal RNA (573 nucleotides) under Cyphellophora jingdongensis. RNAcentral describes it as "eukaryotic LSU rRNA". The stretch from base 226 to 378 matches the Rfam family "5.8S ribosomal RNA". The record is from RNAcentral. Lineage: Eukaryota; Fungi; Ascomycota; Eurotiomycetes; Chaetothyriales; Cyphellophoraceae.
CGAGUUAGGGGUGACGUGGUAACCCUGCGUCGCCCCGAACCUCCCAACCCUUUGUCUACCUUACCAUAACGUUGCUUCGGCAGGCCCGCCGACCCCCUAGGCUUUACCGCCCGGGGUGACGCCGCCGGGGGUCUAACGACCCCGGGCCCGCGCCUGUCGAUGGCCCCUUUAUCAAAACUCUUGUUAAAACGUGUCGUCUGAGUUACAAACAAAAAUUAAAACCAAAACUUUCAACAACGGAUCUCUUGGUUCUGGCAUCGAUGAAGAACGCAGCGAAAUGCGAUAAGUAAUGCGAAUUGCAGAAUCCGUGAGUCAUCGAAUCUUUGAACGCACAUUGCGCCCUUUGGUAUUCCGAAGGGCAUGCCUGUUCGAGCGUCAUUAUCACCCCUCAAGCCCGGCUUGUUGUUGGCGUCAGCGCGGUCUUACCGGCUGCGCUCCGCCUAAAGAUAAUGACGGCGUCUGUGAGGACUCCUGUACAUUGAGCUUUCGGGCACGUACACGGUUAGAAGUCCAGGCGCCGGUCACCGUCCCUCGGGACACUUUUUACCAAGGUUGACCUCGGAUCAGGUAGGG